AUUGAACGCUGGCGGCAGGCUUAACACAUGCAAGUCGAGCGGGGUGAUGGUGCUUGCACUAUCACUUAGCGGCGGACGGGUGAGUAAUGCUUAGGAAUCUGCCUAUUAGUGGGGGGCAACAUUUCGAAAGGAAUGCUAAUACCGCAUACGUCCUACGGGAGAAGGCAGGGGAUCUUCGGACCUUGCGCUAAUAGAUGAGCCUAAGUCGGAUUAGCUAGUUGGUGGGGUAAAGGCCUACCAAGGAGACGAUCUGUAGCGGGUCUGAGAGGAUGAUCCGCCACACUGGGACUGAGACACGGCCCAGACUCCUACGGGAGGCAGCAGUGGGGAAUAUUGGACAAUGGGCGCAAGCCUGAUCCAGCCAUGCCGCGUGUGUGAAGAAGGCCUUAUGGUUGUAAAGCACUUUAAGCGAGGAGGAGGCUACUUUAGUUAAUACCUAGAGAUAGUGGACGUUACUCGCAGAAUAAGCACCGGCUAACUCUGUGCCAGCCGCCGCCGUAA
RNAcentral lists this ribosomal RNA (501 nucleotides) under uncultured bacterium. Its description in RNAcentral is "partial 16S ribosomal RNA". It matches the Rfam family "Bacterial small subunit ribosomal RNA", at positions 30 to 523 of the family's 1533-position model. The record is from RNAcentral.